This 74-nucleotide transfer RNA is filed under the name Verrucomicrobiaceae bacterium. Its description in RNAcentral is "tRNA-Leu". It matches the Rfam family "tRNA". From Rfam's summary of the family: Transfer RNA (tRNA) molecules are approximately 80 nucleotides in length. The record is from RNAcentral. Lineage: Bacteria; Pseudomonadati; Verrucomicrobiota; Verrucomicrobiia; Verrucomicrobiales; Verrucomicrobiaceae.
CCCGUAGCCCAAUCAGCAGAGGCAUCCCGCUUAAGACGGGAUAGGUGCAGGUGCGAAUCCUGCCGGGAGGACCA